Felis catus (domestic cat) is the source of this 4124-nucleotide long non-coding RNA. RefSeq lists it as uncharacterized. Lineage: Eukaryota; Metazoa; Chordata; Mammalia; Carnivora; Felidae. The transcript has 2 exons. The record is from RefSeq and is a predicted model, not a curated record.
UUGCGGACCAGGAGGGCGGACGGGUGAGGUGCUGGCUGGUCGAGACUCCGAGGCCCUGCUCUGGGUGCCUCUCAGCCUGCCUCUUUCUCAGGUUUGCGAGAGGGGGUGAAGGUCCGCCUAGUUCUUGCCUCACAGGACAUGGAUACUGCUGUCACUGAGGGAUGCCGGUUUCAACCCUCAGGUGACACCUGAGCCCUCCAGGAUUACUUCAAGGCUUACCUGGCUGAGACGCUGCCCUGUGGGAAAUGCCUGGCCGGUGGGGCUGAGAGGAAAGGGGAGGCCAGGAACUAAUUUGCUGGGGAAAUCGUGUGGAACCAGAAUGUUUUAUAGAAAUGCUGGGGGAUCAGCCCAUUAAAUUGGGAGGGAUUUGGCUCCUUUUACAUUUACACCACCUGAUGUUCAGGUGGUGAUUUUGUACCAGAUUUGUGUUCGGGGAGACGGCUGGUGGGGUUGGGCACGGAGGAGGCAUUCUGGGAUGGCUGCAGGCUCACCAGGGUUGUGCUGAACUACAGGUCCACACGGCAGUGCGCCUUCUCCCUUUACCAUUUGAGGGUGGGCCGAGAAUUCUAUCCUCCAUUCUAACCCUUUCUGUCAUGUUUUUUAAUAACCCCGCCCAGCUGACUUAGCCUUGGCCUUCACGCCAGCUGCUGAGGCUGUGAUUGGGCUGCUGGGGCCGCUGGAGCUUUUCGGAAAGUGAGCCAGGGCUGGGGAAGGAAGUACCUCUUCCCUCCAUGGCCCACAGGGGGCCCAGAAAGGUUGCUGACCGGGAGGCAAGGCAAGCCAGUGCCGCCCUUAUUACUCUUUACAGAGACUUGGAAUAAGCACCACUAGGGGGCAUUAUCUCUUUGACCCUUGUCUCCUGUUUCCUACUUUGUUUAGUAGUGAUAAAAGAUGGGUUUAAAAUGUAAAAUAGGAGGAAAAAAAGAUUGCUGUGAUAGUGUCUAUUUGCAUAGAUUUUAGACCUUGUUCUUCUGAAGUGACUGGUUUUCAUUUUGAAUACUUACCUGGCACAGCCAUUUAAAGCUAUUUGGCUGCCAGUGGGUUCUGCCAAGAAUCUGACUCUGGACCUCCGAAUCCUCACCAGUAAAAUGAGAGGUCACAUGAUCCCCCCCCCCCGCGGAGCAAGUUCUUUCCAACUUCUACAACUUUAAGAACACAUUUUUGUUCUGGAUAGUGAAUACCCUUACAGGAUGAGCCGGCUGGUUGGAGGCCUGGCUUUCGAGUAUCAUCUGUGACUGCAGCUUGUGUAGCCUGGCACCUCAGCUGUGCUCCCCUCCAGAACCACCGACCUGGCUUUGGGACUUCCACACCUUCUUUCCCACUAAAGAUGUCUUUUAAAAGGGCCGGUAAUGCAGCUACAUUUUAACGGAGAGGUCCAAACUACAGGUAAAAACUAGGGUUUGUACUAUGAAAAAUGUGCAGCUUUUCAGUUAUAAAACUAGUUGAACACUGGUUUAUUACAAGGUAGUUGGGAGAACGGAGGCUGUAGAAAAAUAUCCCAGCACUUGAGUUGUGUGGCGGCAUCGUCUGAGCCCGUGGCCGCUCUGGUCGUUAAAAUGGUAAUUGAGUACACGUUCCUAAAGAGAAGUCGUUUUUAACAUAAAGUCUACUACUUCCAAAUGUUAUCCAAAUAUUAAGCUUUCUCACAGUCUGUCAGUUGAUAAAUGUUGCUGAACAUUGAUUUUUAUAGCAUUUUUUCUAUGCUGUGUGUAUAAAUAUUGAGACACCAGAAUUACUGGCUUCUGAACUGGAAGUAUAGCUGGGCCUUAAAAGUAUCUCCGACAUUCCCCACCCCUAAGAUACUCUUUUUAAGCUCAAACUUUAAUUACUCGUAGAUUGCUGUUAAGAUAGCCCCAAAUGAAAACUUUUACUUUGAAGAUUGAGAGACUGUCAAGCUUCCUCUUGUAUUUUAACUGGAAAGCCACCUUCAAGAGUGUGAUUGUCACGACAGGCAGGGACAGGGGAAGGUCAGGAAGUACUGUUGGAUGAGGCCAGCGAAGUAGGAGCUUCUUUUACAUCAAAUAUAGGGGAAGCUGAAGGCUAAAUGACCCACCGUCUCACAAAAGGCACUGAGUACUAUAGUCUCAAUGAAGUGUUUUCAAACAUUUCGGUAGCUUAUUUUAAAAAACAACAGAAAACCUAUGGGCUAUGUGAGUUUUUGCCGUUCUCCAGUUCCCUUCAGCGGGCCAGCUUUCAGCCCUCCCGCCAGGCAGGCCCCAUUCACCAGCUCUGCAAGCAACUACGCCGGGCUGGGCCCUGGCUCCCGCGUGCCGUGUCUCAGUUUAAAGCCUGAUUAAGGGGGAAAAUUCAUCAGAAUAGACCUGGGCGAGGAAAAUUAGGUAUCUGUAGCUUAAAGGGCACAUGUAGCCAUAUUAAAAUCCAAUUUUUAUCUGACAUGUUUAAAUCAAUUUAUAGGAAGGAUUUACGUCAGUGGAUUUUAUUCACAUGCUAGAGAAGUAAUUUAAGAUUUGUAACUUAAUAUUCCAUAAUUUAGUCAUCAUAUUCAUGUUUAUCUUAAAAGACUGCUUGGUAGGUUUUUUUCAACUGGCACUAGAGACAUGGGAAUCUGUUUACUCACCGGGCAGUGCCCACCGUUUGCUAAAUCCGGGUGAGCAUAGGAAAUCACUACCACACGAGGAGUCAGGCCCCAGAACAAGGACCACUCUGAAUCUCUGACUAUGAUGCCUGUCUCUGGACCACAUGACAGAGCGAGUAUCUGGGAAGGCCGACAGCUCCUACUAUCAAGUUCCUUCUAGUCAGGCCAUAAACAGGUGUGUGGCAGCCAAGUUAAAGGUCCCCACCUAGUUUUGGACAUAAGGAUGAACGGUCUUCUACCUUUCUGGCCCUUGCCUGAACCUAGAGAAUAUACGGCAGUGUCCUCCUGUCAGGACCUUUUCUGUCUGGAAUCUUCCCUGGUACAGAGUGGAGAUUCUGUCUUCAUGGCCUUUCCCAGCCAGGCUCACCCAAAGGAAAAUGGAGUUAAAAUAACAGCAAAUCCAUCCUGCUGAGGGACCUUGGAACACCCACAUCCAUUUACUUUAGCAACUCUAUCAUAGACUCUCUUUAAAACAUAAGGAAAUUUUGGAUACAUGGCUACAUGUCUGUAUACAUAAUAUACAUCUAUGUACACAUACACACACUAUAUACACUGUACAUAUAUAGAUAUAAACACAUGUACAUUCAUUCAGUCAUACAAGCCUAUAAAUCUGUACACGCACAAUGCCGCUGAAGGGACCCCAGGGCUGGACAUGCGCAAGUGUGCGCUGGCUAGAGGCACACGUGGGGAUGUCCAGAACCCUGUGUACAAAAGACCCAAACCCGCUACCUCGAUUAGGGCUUGGCUUUACAAAUUUACAUCAAAGUUAAGACAUUUUCAAAGAGCCGUACAAUCUAGAGACUGGAAGUGGGAUAAAGGAAGCAUGUGGGCAUCUGCCUGGCCUGCUCCAACCUUCCAGGGUCUAAAGGGCACUGCCUCCCUACCUCCCCCCACCCCCCCGCCCCCGGGGAUAAAAGCGAAUGUCAGAAGAUGACACUUCACGGCCUACACUUAGAGAUGAAAUGUCAUCUAGAUAGCCCCACUGCACAUGAGGCCCUUUCCACCGGCAAGUGGGCAACAAACUUCUGGACUCUGAUCUGAUCAGGUCCUAGAACUUGGAUUCAUGGCCAAGGGCUGCUUGUCAGGCAGAGAGCAGGCUGGGGGCAAGACUACUGGAAAUCACCCCAAAGGAUUAGGAUGCAUUUUUCCCCCAGAAUAAAAGCACUAGAUAUAGCCCUUCUAAAUCUUAGCCUUCCUGCCACGGCCAUCCCCCAAACAAGCAAAACAGCUAAGUAAAUAUGUACUAUGGCUGCAACCAUGCGCUCUAGCGAUAUGUGGCUGCCACGUCAGGGAGCCCAAGAGUAGGUGCAUCCAUUGCGAUCACCAUGGCUGGUGGCAACUGCCUCAGAACAGAGUUCACAUUUAAUACUGAGAAGCUAGGAAACCAUCCCUCUUGAGGGCAUUUACAUAACAUCUUACAAGUGACUAUACCUGCAGUGAAAUAUAAAAACCCAAACAACAAAAGAACCUCAAGAACAGCCUCAUGGCAGAAGCUAGACAAUAAAUAAUGGUAACCCCCCCCCCCCCC